This is an RNA transcript of Aethalodelphis obliquidens (Pacific white-sided dolphin), 975 nucleotides long. It is a transcript of the gene named AN1-type zinc finger protein 1 pseudogene, with no coding region annotated. NCBI's taxonomy places the organism in Eukaryota, Metazoa, Chordata, Mammalia, Artiodactyla, Delphinidae. The transcript has a single exon. The record is from RefSeq and is a predicted model, not a curated record.
GCGCUGGGAGAUGGCGGAGUUGGACAUUGGGCGGCACUGCCGGGUGGAACAGUGCCGGCAGCGAGAUUUUCUUCCAUUUGUAUGUGAUGGUUGUUCAGGAAUAUUUUGCCUUGAACACAGGAGCAGGGAGUCACAUAGCUAUCCUGAGGUUACUGUAAUUGAGAGACUGAAGUCAGAUACACAUACAUCUUACCCAUGCUCAUUCAAGGACUGUGCUGAAAGAGAGCUUGUGCCAGUUAUGUGUCCUUAUUGUGAGAAGAAUUUUUGCCUGAGACAUCGUCAUCAGUCAGAUCAUAAAUGUGAAGAACUGGAAAUCCCUAAGUCUCGUAUGGCUGCCACUCAGAAACUUGUUAAAGACAUUAUUGAUUCCAAGAGAGGAGAGACAGCAAGUAAACGACGGAAAGGUGCAAAAAAUAGUGAAACAGCUGCAAAGUUAGCAUUGAUGAAAUUAAAGAUGCAUGCUAAUGGAGAUAAAUCAUUGCCACAGACGGAAAGAAUUUACUUUCAGGUUUUCUUACCUAAGGGGAGCAAAGAGAAGAGUAAGCCAAUGUUCUUUCGCCAGCAGUGGAGCAUUGGAAGGGUCAUAGACUUUGCAGCUUCUUUAGCCAGUCUUAAAAAUGACAAUAACAAAUUAACACCUAAGAAAUUGAGAUUAUGUCAUAGUACUUCAGGAGAAGCCUUACCCUUGGAUCAUAUUUUGGAAACCUGGAUUGCUAAGGAGGAUUGUCCUUUAUACAAUGGUGGAAGUAUUAUCUUGGAAUAUCUGAAUGAUGAAGAACAGUUUUUAAACAAUGUUGAUUCUUACUUGGAAUAGUCAUUCAGGGAGUCAAGCUAGAAAUCACGAGGAAAAUUCAUUGUUAAUCAAAUUCUUUUACUACAAAUACUAUGUAUUUUUUAUUUUUAAAACUUGCUUUUUAUUUCAUAUUAUGUCAUAAUUUACAUUAUCAGUCUUCUAUUAAAUUGGAUUUGAAUUUU